AUUGAACGCUGGCGGCAUGCUUUACACAUGCAAGUCGAACGGCAGCGCGGGCUUCGGCCUGGCGGCGAGUGGCGAACGGGUGAGUAAUGCAUCUGAACGUGCCCAGUAGUUGGGGAUAGCCCGGCGAAAGCCGGAUUAAUACCGCAUACGACCUGAGGGUGAAAGCGGGGGACCGAAAGGCCUCGCGCUAUUGGAGCGGCCGAUGUCGGAUUAGCUAGUUGGUGGGGUAAAGGCUUACCAAGGCGACGAUCCGUAGCUGGUCUGAGAGGACGACCAGCCACACUGGGACUGAGACACGGCCCAGACUCCUACGGGAGGCAGCAGUGGGGAAUUUUGGACAAUGGGGGCAACCCUGAUCCAGCCAUGCCGCGUGCGGGAAGAAGGCCUUCGGGUUGUAAACCGCUUUUGUUCGGGAAGAAAUCCUCUGGGCUAAUACCCCGGGGGGAUGACGGUACCGGAAGAAUAAGCACCGGCUAACUACGUG
Molecule: ribosomal RNA, 484 nt
Filed under: uncultured bacterium
Lineage: Bacteria
Description: partial 16S ribosomal RNA
Rfam family: Bacterial small subunit ribosomal RNA
Source: RNAcentral